UAUCAGAAACAUGCAAAGCCUCAAGCAAGGGAGAAGCAGCCGCUAGGAUCUAGAAACUGGAGCCGGCAGGUCUAAGCAGGGUGGUUCGAUGGGGCAACUCAGCAGACAAGCGAUGGGAGGAGGCAACUGAAACAAUCCAGGGGCAGAGGGUGAAGAGUCUGCCAGAGGCAAACCUUGCUCACUUCGCAGUUUCACUGAGGGUUACUCCUGGCUCCCAAACGGCACAACAGUGACAGAACCCGGCAGAAGACGCUGGACUUGGAGGUGAAACUUUAAGGGGAAUUCUUCAAAACAAGGAGGAAAGGAUGAUAACUGACACCUCCGGGCUAUCUACCCAGAAGGGUCCUGUCCUUUUAGAGGUAACCUGGACACUCCCAUCCUCCGGACAGUCCACACCCCCCUCCAGGGCCUAAGCCUGAUGCUCCCGAUGGUUGUUAAAGCAUCAUCUGUUUGAGGGUCUCACUAGGGACUGAAGUUUUUGGUCCCAGGUCUCUCCACUUAGCAGUGAGGAAAUCAUUAUGUCUUGGGAAUAACUCCUGAUCUGCCGACAAAAUUUAAUGCCGCCGAUGCCGGAUAGUGAAAUCAAUGCUGUUGGAACUAAAGAGCGAGGACUGUGCAGACAGCCGGGCCAUUAGCAGAUGUACAGUCCAUGUACAGUCCGCCAUCCCGUCUUCUACUGAGGCAUGGCGCCACCCUCCAGCCCCUCCAAGCAGCCUUGUGAAGAAUCAUGCAAGGCGGGUGUUUUCCUGUAUAAUCCUUCAUUCCUGACAAUUACCGUCUUCCACCUUGGUUCAGAAGUGCAUCUUUCCAGGUCAUCCUUGUUACCUUGGGUGAUAAUAAGGACCGAUUUGUAUACUGAACUAUCAAGCACGACAUCAUUCUUGUGCCAGACAAUAUUCAGGAUGUUUAGAUGCGCUUACUCAUUUACUGUUCAGCUCAUGGGUAUGAGGAACAAGACUUUUCUUCCCAUGUUUUUGGAUGAAGAGAUUGAGGCACCGAGAGGGGAAGCCAUUUGCCUAAGGACCUGCCAUUGGCUUAAGGGGCACAGCCUGGGACUACAGCCCAGAGUGUCUGUGCCAAGCACCGUGUUCUCGAGCACCAAGUCCUGGAGCCCAAGGGAGCUGAUGCACUGUCACUUCCUGCCAUUGUGUCCUGCGUUACCUAAAGUAAUUGGCCAAGCCUGCCCCCUCUUGCUGUUCUUGCCCCACGGUAUUCCCGCAGCAUACCGCACACCCAGCUCUACAGCCAUCUUGUAGUCCAGUUACACCUGCUUAGAAAAUGUCAGGGAUCCUCCACGGCCUAACGGCUGUUCAUGAGCUCAUCUCAAUCUACCCAGCUCACAUACUUCUCUCCACUUCCCUCCACAAAUCCUGCACACCCUCCUCCUGACACACUCACCUGGGUAGCUGGCUCCAUUCUUUAGCAUACUCCAGUAUCAGUUUACAUGUCUAGGGGCUCAAAAACAUUCACAUUUUAACCCCAAUGCCACCCUCUCCACAAAGGCUUCUCCAAACUCACCACCAGAAGCCAAUGCUCUCUUCUGAAACCCCCCAGGGUUUUCCCCACAUCUUCCUUAUUGCACAUUGUCACUUUCUAUCUUACAUUAGAGUGAUUUAUACCUGUCUCUGCCCUAUUGAGAAGUCCCUGUGACACGCUCUAUGUCAAGUUCACCUUCACGAGUAUCUAAUAAAAUUCCUUGCCAGGCA
Molecule: long non-coding RNA, 1706 nt
Organism: Hyaena hyaena (striped hyena)
Lineage: Eukaryota; Metazoa; Chordata; Mammalia; Carnivora; Hyaenidae
Exons: 3
Source: RefSeq, a predicted model, not a curated record